CCCUUAGAUGUUCUGGGCCGCACGCGCGCUACACUGACGAAUGCAACGAGCUUAUAACCUUGGCCGAAAGGUCUGGGUAAUCUCCAAAUUUCGUCGUGAUGGGGAUAGAUUAUUGCAAUUAUUAAUCUUCAACGAGGAAUGCCUAGUAAGCGCAAGUCAUCAGCUUGCGUUGAUUACGUCCCUGCCCUUUGUACACACCGCCCGUCGCUCCUACCGAUUGAAUGGUCCGGUGAAGCGUUCGGACCGUGGCCUUUGGACGGUUCGCCGUCUGUUGGCUGCGGGAAGUUCGUUAAACCUUAUCAUUUAGAGGAAGGAGAAGUCGAAACA
Molecule: ribosomal RNA, 327 nt
Filed under: uncultured eukaryote
Lineage: Eukaryota
Description: partial 18S ribosomal RNA
Rfam family: Eukaryotic small subunit ribosomal RNA
Source: RNAcentral